UACGUAGGGGGCAAGCGUUGUCCGGAUUUAUUGGGCGUAAAGAGCGUGUAGGCGGCCAUGCAGGUCCGUUGUGAAAACUCGAGGCUCAACCUCGAGACGCCGAUGGAAACCGCAUGGCUAGAGUCCGGAAGAGGAGAGUGGAAUUCCUGGUGUAGCGGUGAAAUGCGCAGAUAUCAGGAAGAACACCCGUGGCUAAGGCGGCUCUCUAGUACGGUACUGACGCUAAGGCGCGAAAGCGUGGGGAGCGAACAGG
Molecule: ribosomal RNA, 253 nt
Filed under: uncultured bacterium
Lineage: Bacteria
Description: partial 16S ribosomal RNA
Rfam family: Bacterial small subunit ribosomal RNA
Source: RNAcentral